GACGAACGCUGGCGGCGUGCUUAACACAUGCAAGUCGAACGGAAAGGCCCUGCUUUUGUGGGGUGCUCGAGUGGCGAACGGGUGAGUAACACGUGAGUAACCUGCCCUUGACUUUGGGAUAACUUCAGGAAACUGGGGCUAAUACCCGAUAGGAGCUCCUGCUGCAUGGUGGGGGUUGGAAAGUUUCGGCGGUUGGGGAUGGACUCGCGGCUUAUCAGCUUGUUGGUGGGGUAGUGGCUUACCAAGGCUUUGACGGGUAGCCGGCCUGGGAGGGUGGCCGGCCACAUUGGGACUGAGAUACGGCCCAGACUCCUACGGGAGGCAGCAGUGGGGAAUAUUGCACAAUGGGCGGAAGCCUGAUGCAGCAACGCCGCGUGCGGGAUGACGGCCUUCGGGUUGUAAACCGCUUUCGCCUGUGACGAAGCGUGAGUGACGGUAAUGGGUAAAGAAGCACCGGCUAACUACGUG
RNAcentral lists this ribosomal RNA (468 nucleotides) under uncultured bacterium. RNAcentral describes it as "partial 16S ribosomal RNA". It matches the Rfam family "Bacterial small subunit ribosomal RNA", at positions 28 to 507 of the family's 1533-position model. The record is from RNAcentral.